GACGGAGGGGGCUAGCGUUGUUCGGAAUUACUGGGCGUAAAGGGCGCGUAGGUGGUUAUCUAAGUUAGGUGUUAAAGACCCGGGCUUAACCUGGGGGGUGCACUUAAUACUGGAUAACUUGAGUGUGGAAGAGGAAAGUGGAAGUCCUAGUGUAGAGGUAAAAUUCGUAGAUAUUAGGAGGAACACCAGUGGCGAAGGCGACUUUCUGGUCCAUAACUGACACUGAGGCGCGAAAGCGUGGGGAGCAAACAGG
This 253-nucleotide ribosomal RNA is filed under the name uncultured bacterium. RNAcentral describes it as "partial 16S ribosomal RNA". It matches the Rfam family "Bacterial small subunit ribosomal RNA", at positions 524 to 776 of the family's 1533-position model. The record is from RNAcentral.